AGGGUUUGAUCAUGGCUCAGGAUGAACGCUAGCGGCAAGCCUAACACAUGCAAGUCGAACGGUAACUUUUGGUGCUUGCACCGAAAGACGAGUGGCGAACGGGUGCGUAACGCGUAUGCAAUCUGCCUUUUACUAGGGUAUAGCCCAGAGAAAUUUGGAUUAAUCCCCUAUAACAUCAUUUAUUCGCAUGAUUAAAUGAUUAAAGCUUCGGCGGUAAAAGAUGAGCAUGCGUCCUAUUAGUUUGUAGGUGAGGUAACGGCUCACCUAGACUACGAUAGGUAGGGGCCCUGAGAGGGGGACCCCCCACACUGGUACUGAGACACGGACCAGACUCCUACGGGAGGCAGCAGUGAGGAAUAUUGGACAAUGGACGAAAGUCUGAUCCAGCUAUGCCGCGUGCAGGAUGACGGCCCUACGGGUUGUAAACUGCUUUUAUACAGGAAGAAACACCCCGACGUGUCGGGGCUUGACGGUACUGUAAGAAUAAGGAUCGGCUAACUCCGUGCCAGCAGCCGCGGUAAUACGGAGGAUUCGAGCGUUAUCCGGAAUCAUUGGGUUUAAAGGGUCCGCAGGCGGUUUUUUAAGUCAGAGGUGAAAUCCUGUAGCUCAACUGUAGAAUUGCCUUUGAUACUGAAAGACUUGAGUUAUUGUGAAGUGGUUAGAAUGUGUGGUGUAGCGGUGAAAUGCAUAGAUAUCACACAGAAUACCGAUUGCGAAGGCAGAUCACUAACAAUAUACUGACGC
RNAcentral lists this ribosomal RNA (744 nucleotides) under uncultured bacterium. RNAcentral's name for it is "bacterial SSU rRNA". It matches the Rfam family "Bacterial small subunit ribosomal RNA", at positions 8 to 746 of the family's 1533-position model. The record is from RNAcentral.